UACGAAGGGUGCAAACGUUGCUCGGAAUUAUUGGGCGUAAAGCGCACGUAGGCGGCUUAGCAAGUCGGAAGUGAAAUCCCUCGGCUCAACCAAGGAAGUGCUUUCGAAACUGCUGAGCUUGAGUACUUAAGAGGAUCGCGGAAUUCCCGGUGUAGAGGUGAAAUUCGUAGAUAUCGGGAGGAACACCUGUGGCGAAAGCGGCUCACUGGACCACAACUGACGCUGAGGCGCGAAAGCUAGGGGAGCAAACAGG
RNAcentral lists this ribosomal RNA (253 nucleotides) under uncultured bacterium. RNAcentral's name for it is "partial 16S ribosomal RNA". It matches the Rfam family "Bacterial small subunit ribosomal RNA", at positions 524 to 776 of the family's 1533-position model. The record is from RNAcentral.